CCUUUAACAGGGGGAUAACACUGAGAAAUUGGUACUAAUACCCCAUAAUAUCAUAGAAGGCAUCUUUUAUGGUUGAAAAUUCCGAUGGUUAGAGAUGGGCAUGCGUUGUAUUAGCUAGUUGGUGGGGUAACGGCUCACCAAGGCGACGAUACAUAGGGGGACUGAGAGGUUAACCCCCCACACUGGUACUGAGACACGGACCAGACUCCUACGGGAGGCAGCAGUGAGGAAUAUUGGUCAAUGGACGCAAGUCUGAACCAGCCAUGCCGCGUGCAGGAUGACGGCUCUAUGAGUUGUAAACUGCUUUUGUACGAGGGUAAACGCAGAUACGUGUAUCUGUCUGAAAGUAUCGUACGAAUAAGGAUCGGCUAACUCCGUGCCAGCAGCCGCGGUAAUACGGAGGAUUCAAGCGUUAUCCGGAUUUAUUGGGUUUAAAGGGUGCGUAGGCGGUUUGAUAAGUUAGAGGUGAAAUUUCGGGGCUCAACCCUGAACGUGCCUCUAAUACUGUUGAGCUAGAGAGUAGUUGCGGUAGGCGGAAUGUAUGGUGUAGCGGUGAAAUGCUUAGAGAUCAUACAGAACACCGAUUGCGAAGGCAGCUUACCAAACUAUAUCUGACGUUGAGGCACGAAAGCGUGGGGAGCAAACAGGAUUAGAUACCCUGGUAGUCCACGCAGUAAACGAUGAUAACUCGUUGUCGGCGAUACACAGUCGGUGACU
This 717-nucleotide ribosomal RNA is filed under the name uncultured bacterium. RNAcentral's name for it is "bacterial SSU rRNA". It matches the Rfam family "Bacterial small subunit ribosomal RNA", at positions 129 to 848 of the family's 1533-position model. The record is from RNAcentral.